RNAcentral lists this ribosomal RNA (497 nucleotides) under uncultured bacterium. Its description in RNAcentral is "partial 16S ribosomal RNA". It matches the Rfam family "Bacterial small subunit ribosomal RNA", at positions 28 to 507 of the family's 1533-position model. The record is from RNAcentral.
GAUGAACGCUGGCGGCGUGCCUAAUACAUGCAAGUCGAGCGAACAGACGAGGAGCUUGCUCCUCUGACGUUAGCGGCGGACGGGUGAGUAACACGUGGAUAACCUACCUAUAAGACUGGGAUAACUUCGGGAAACCGGAGCUAAUACCGGAUAAUAUAUUGAACCGCAUGGUUCAAUAGUGAAAGACGGUUUUGCUGUCACUUAUAGAUGGAUCCGCGCCGCAUUAGCUAGUUGGUAAGGUAACGGCUUACCAAGGCAACGAUGCGUAGCCGACCUGAGAGGGUGAUCGGCCACACUGGAACUGAGACACGGUCCAGACUCCUACGGGAGGCAGCAGUAGGGAAUCUUCCGCAAAGGGCGAAAGCCUGACGGAGCAACGCCGCGUGAGUGAUGAAGGUCUUCUGAUCGUAAAACUCUGUUAUUAGGGAAGAACAAAUGUGUAAGUAACUAUGCACGUCUUGACGGUACCUAAUCAGAAAGCCACGGCUAACUACGUG